Molecule: ribosomal RNA, 462 nt
Filed under: Veillonellaceae bacterium oral taxon 155
Lineage: Bacteria; Bacillati; Bacillota; Negativicutes; Veillonellales; Veillonellaceae
Description: bacterial SSU rRNA
Rfam family: Bacterial small subunit ribosomal RNA
Source: RNAcentral
GACGAACGCUGGCGGCGUGCUUAACACAUGCAAGUCGAACGGAGCUAUUUAUUUCGGUAGAUAGCUUAGUGGCAAACGGGUGAGUAGCGCGUAGGCAACCUGCCCUCAGGAUGGGGACAACGGCUCGAAAGAGCCGCUAAUACCGAAUGACGUAACUCUUCCACAUGGAAGAGAUACUAAAGAUGGGUCAAACCAUCGCCUAAGGAUGGGCCUGCGUCUGAUUAGCCAGUUGGUGAGGUAACGGCUCACCAAAGCGACGAUCAGUAGCCGGUCUGAGAGGAUGAACGGCCACAAUGGGACUGAGACACGGCCCAUACUCCUACGGGAGGCAGCAGUGGGGAAUCUUCCGCAAUGGGCGAAAGCCUGACGGAGCAACGCCGCGUGAGUGAAGAAGGUCUUCGGAUCGUAAAGCUCUGUUGUCGGGGACGAAAGAGUAGACGAGGAAAUGCGUUUACUAAGACG